AUCUUUGCAUUGACAGGCCAAGAUAUGCACGUUUUCGUUUAGCAAGUAUGAUUUGGUGCAAUACUUAAGAUCGAAUGAAUACGUUAGAGAUAUCUUACUUUCUUCCCCUUCUCACACGCUCAUAUCAGUUUGAGCAUCACUGAAGAGACAUUAUUUGUCGAAAUACGUAUCUGGAGCAUCAAAAUUGCCUGCAGCAUAAUUUCCGACCUCCUGCAAGGCGCCCACGGCCACAGAAAAGUUUCCAGAGGCUGUGUGUAUUGGCCGUGGAAGAUGGAGGAAACGGCUGAUUUUCGUGGAUUUUCAACCGUGAUCUUUCCAUGGCGAAGAAGAAAGAUGAAGGAUGACAUAUUAUUCAUUUUUGGAUUAUAAAAACAUUAUGAUACAUGUUAACUUCAUCGUUGAUAACUAAGCCUACUGAAUUUCAAGAGAAAAAAGGCAACAAAUAUUAAAUCUAAAGUAGAGACCAUUGAAAAUCUUUUAUAUUAACGCAUACAUUUUCAUUUUCUUUUAAUUGUAAUCUACUUGUUAUUAACAAUUGAUAGCAUGACGUUGCACUGAACGAUAUUUUAAAACAUUAUAGUUCAAUUUAGAUUAAAAGAUUCCAAUACAGUG
Molecule: long non-coding RNA, 612 nt
Organism: Ostrea edulis (European flat oyster)
Lineage: Eukaryota; Metazoa; Mollusca; Bivalvia; Ostreida; Ostreidae
Exons: 3
Source: RefSeq, a predicted model, not a curated record